GAGUUUGAUCCUGGCUCAGGGUGAACGCUGGCGACGUGGAUAAGGCAUGCAAGUCGAACGGAUCCGCCUCUUUGGCGGAUUAGUGGCAAACGAGUUAGUAACACGUGGAUACUUACCCUGUACUCGGGCACAACCAGCCGAAAGGUUGGCUAAUUCCCGAUGGUCUCGCAAGAGUAAAGCUUUCGCGGUACAGGAAAGGUCUGCGGCUUAUCAGCUUGUUGGUGGGGUAAUGGCCUACCAAGGCUAUGACGGGUAGGGGACGUGAGAGCGUGACCCCCAACGAUGGGACUGAGACACGGCCCAUACUCCUACGGGAGGCAGCAGUCGAGAAUAUUGGACAAUGGACGCAAGUCUGAUCCAGCGACGUCGCGUGCGGGAUGAAGGCCUUCGGGUCGUAAACCGCUUUUAUAGAGGAAGAAUCCGCCUCAUCGGCGGAUGACGGUACUCUAUGAAUAAGGGGGUGCUAAUUCUGUGCCAGCAGCCUCGGUAAAACAGAACCCCCGAGCGUUACCCGGAUUCAUUGGGGCGUAAAGCGUCUGUAGCCGGUUUGGCAAGUCUUAGGUUAAAUACCAAGAGCUCAAUUUUUGGAAUGCUUAAGAAACUGCCAGACUAGAGGGUGUUAGGGGUUGAUGGAACUCUUGGUGGAGCGGUGAAAUGCGUUGAUAUCAAGAGGAACACCAAAAGCGAAGGCAUUCAACUGGGGCAACCCCUGACGGGUGAGAGACGAAAAGCGGGGGGAGCAAAAGGGAUUAGAUACCCUUGUAGUCCACGCUGUAAACGAUGGAUACUAGCUAUGUGAAGUGUCGACCCUUCACGUGGCGAAGCUAACGCGUUAAGUAUCCCGCCUGGGAAGUACGGCCGCAAGGCUAAAACUCAAAGGAAUAGACGGGGACCCACACAAGCGGUGGAUCAUGCGGCUUAAUUCGUCAAUAACCGAGGAACCUUACCAGGGCUGGAAACACUAGUGAACCCCCCUAUGAAAGUAGGGGCUACCUCACAAGGACACUAGUUCAGGUGAUGCACGGCUGUCGUCAGCAUGUACCUUGAGGCGCUCCGUUAAAUCGGGCAACAUGCGCUACCCUUACCCUGUGUUUUACGUGUCACAGGGAACUGCCUGAGACAAUCAGGAGGAAGGUGAGGAUGACGCCAAGUCAGCGUGUCCCUUUGAUGUCCUGGGCUGCACGCAUGAUACGAUGGGGCCGACAGCGGGUUGCAAUGCAGCAAUGCGGAGCUAAUCCUUAAACGGUCCCCCAGUUCGGAUCGAGGUCUGAAACUCGACCUCGUGAAGCCGGAAUCGCUAGUAAUCGCGUAUCAGCUAAGGCGCGAUGAAUAUGUUCCUGGGUCUUGUACUCAUCGCCCGUCAACUCAAGCGAGCUGGGAAUACCCGAAGUUCCCGCGAAUUUCAAAGGGCCUAAGGUAGAUUCAGUAAGAGGGAGUAAGUCGUAACAAGGUAACCAAGCGCGAAUUCCGAGCACACCUACUCGCCACUAUAAUGAGUCGUAAACCAAUUACCCCCCCCCCC
Molecule: ribosomal RNA, 1522 nt
Filed under: uncultured bacterium
Lineage: Bacteria
Description: bacterial SSU rRNA
Rfam family: Bacterial small subunit ribosomal RNA
Source: RNAcentral